Molecule: long non-coding RNA, 746 nt
Filed under: Anas platyrhynchos platyrhynchos (common mallard)
Lineage: Eukaryota; Metazoa; Chordata; Aves; Anseriformes; Anatidae
Description: lncRNA (ENSAPLG00000029443.1)
Source: RNAcentral
GUGAUUGUUUAUUAAUGUAGCAUUACACUUGUGUAGAUCCAGAGAAAAUAUGACAUUUGUUAAAGUAUUAACAUCUUUCUGGAAAGCUUUCACUUCCUGAAAUAAGCAUAAUAAUGACCAGGAGGAUUUGGUAGCUCAGGGAAGGUUCCUGCAGUGGGACACUGAGGUGGCUGUGGCUGGAGUAGUUCCCCUGUGCAAGGAGGCAAGGGGACAAGACCUGGCUGUGGCUGGAGAAGGGGCAGGGCCAGGAGCACCCAGCAGCACCCCUGUGCCCACGCAGGGCUGCCUGGGAGACAGAGCAGACUCUUCUCUUUGGGGCACAGUGGGAGGACAAGGGCCUGGCACCAGGAAGCCUCUCUGUGGAAGCAGAGCUGUUAACCGACCAAGUACAUCUUUAAUUUCCAAGACCGAUGGUUUGGUAGCAGUUGAGAGGAAGAAUGAUUUGCAUAAGGCCCCAGAAGGGUGCCAAAACUCUUCACGCUUUAAACAACAGCCUUUAUUAUUCUUGCUGAGUUGCUUGCUCUCUCCUGCUGCUCAUGUCAGAGGCAACUGAACUUGGAGAUCAGCAUGAAGAGAAAGGAGCAAUAUAAUUGCAUACCACAGAAGCCAGAUGUUUAGUAAAAUCAUGGGGAAUCUUGUCAGGAAGUGCCAUUGAAGUUCCUAGGAGAUUCACCACUUUCCCAAAGAAAAUUGGAAAAUUGUAUUCUGAAAGGAAAUGCAUUUGUUCCUUGGGAGUAAUGUGUCAA